UACCAUAACAGGGGUAUAACAUAGCGUUUAUGAAAACGCUAUUGAUGACAUAUAAUAGCUCUUCUCUCUUGCUAAUAAUGUACAUAUUUCUUGUAGUGUCUUUUCAAGAAAACAGUUUAGUUUAUUUUAUGUUAUGUUGUUUUUCGUUCAAGUGUAUUCAUGUUAUUUUGAAAGUUCAACUUGUUUAUGUAGAAUACUGUUUCGGUAUAAUGAUGUCGAACUCUCUGCCCUUGGAAUGGAAUAUAUUGUUUAGGAGAAGGAGCUUGCAUGUGGUUGCAAGAGCUUAAGUGCCUAUCGACGGGAGUGCUAAUAGGAACAAUUGUUCAGAUCGAAGUUUUAUGUGUUCUGCUUUUGAUGAGGAGGCCAAAAAGAUAGAGGAGAAGAAAUUGAAGAGAUCGAAGUUUGUCUCUGUCUAUAUGAUGUUAGUCCUAUUUUGUUGAAGACUUAUGAUGUUAGUAUAAGACUUGGUAUGAUGUUAUGUAAGACUUGUUUGGCUAAUUGGUUAAUGUAAUAUUACUUGUUGGUGAUUUAUAAAAUAUAAAAGUUAUAUAUA
This is a long non-coding RNA of Arabidopsis lyrata subsp. lyrata, 553 nucleotides long. RefSeq lists it as uncharacterized. The record is from RefSeq and is a predicted model, not a curated record. NCBI's taxonomy places the organism in Eukaryota, Viridiplantae, Streptophyta, Magnoliopsida, Brassicales, Brassicaceae. The transcript has 3 exons.